This 276-nucleotide ribosomal RNA is filed under the name uncultured prokaryote. RNAcentral describes it as "partial 16S ribosomal RNA". It matches the Rfam family "Bacterial small subunit ribosomal RNA", at positions 524 to 800 of the family's 1533-position model. The record is from RNAcentral.
UACGUAGGGGGCUAGCGUUAUCCGGAAUUACUGGGCGUAAAGGGUGCGUAGGUGGUUUCUUAAGUCAGAGGUGAAAGGCUACGGCUCAACCGUAGUAAGCUUUUGGAACUGUAAGACUUGAGUGCAGGAGAGGAGAGUGGAAUUCCUAGUGUAGCGGUGAAAUGCGUAGAUAUUAGGAGGAACACCAGUAGCGAAGGCGGCUCUCUGGACUGUAACUGACGCUGAGGCACGAAAGCGUGGGGAGCAAACAGGAUUAGAUACCCUGGUAGUCCCUGA